AUCGAACACGACGCGGCAUGACCUCGGGCAUGUCAUCGCCAACGCCGGGAUCGGCGGCAUAAAAAGGAAUGACUGGCGCAGGCCGGUCAUUCCGUCAGUGAGCACGCAAGGCACUUCGGGCGACGCAGGUCGCCCUUUUUUUCG
Pseudomonas syringae pv. actinidiae ICMP 19096 is the source of this 144-nucleotide non-coding RNA. The record is from Rfam. NCBI's taxonomy places the organism in Bacteria, Pseudomonadati, Pseudomonadota, Gammaproteobacteria, Pseudomonadales, Pseudomonadaceae.